RNAcentral lists this long non-coding RNA (206 nucleotides) under Carica papaya (papaya). RNAcentral describes it as "long non-coding RNA (CPAP_LNC015341)". The record is from RNAcentral. Lineage: Eukaryota; Viridiplantae; Streptophyta; Magnoliopsida; Brassicales; Caricaceae.
UAUGUUGUGUUAAUAGUUAUGUGUGUGUGAGUGGCCAAAUAUGGGUUAGAUUUCACAUCAUUUCCUUGUCACAUUAUUUGCUGAUUUUCUUUAAUGUGUAAUGCAUUAACCUGCUGUAGGUUAUUAAAUGUGUUGCGUAAGUGGAUGGCCAACUUGUGGUUGUAAUGAGUGUGACACCGGGAUAUUGAAUACACUACUGUUUAUUU